This 466-nucleotide ribosomal RNA is filed under the name uncultured bacterium. RNAcentral's name for it is "bacterial SSU rRNA". It matches the Rfam family "Bacterial small subunit ribosomal RNA", at positions 329 to 793 of the family's 1533-position model. The record is from RNAcentral.
AUCCAGACUCCUACGGGAGGCAGCAGUGAGGAAUAUUGGUCAAUGGCCGAGAGGCUGAACCAGCCAAGUCGCGUGAGGGAUGGCGGCCCUACGGGUUGUAAACCUCUUUUGUCGGGGAGCAAAGAGAGUCACGUGUGGCUCAUUGGGAGUACCCGAAGAAAAAGCAUCGGCUAACUCCGUGCCAGCAGCCGCGGUAAUACGGAGGAUGCGAGCGUUAUCCGGAUUUAUUGGGUUUAAAGGGUGCGUAGGCGGGACGGUAAGUCAGCGGUAAAAAUGCGGGCCUCAACCCCGGCGAGCCGUUGAAACUGCCGUUCUUGAGUGAGCGAGAAGUAUGCGGAAUGCGUGGUGUAGCGGUGAAAUGCAUGGAUAUCACGCAGAACUCCGAUUGCGAAGGCAGCAUACCGGCGCUCAACUGACGCUCAUGCACGAAAGUGUGGGUAUCGAACAGGAUUAGAUACCCCGGUAU